GAUGAAGAACGUAGCGAAAUGCGAUAAGUAAUGUGAAUUGCAGAAUUCAGUGAAUCAUCGAAUCUUUGAACGCACAUUGCGCCCCCUGGUAUUCCGGGGGGCAUGCCUGUUCGAGCGUCAUUACAACCCUCAAGCUCUGCUUGGUAUUGGGCCCCGCCAGUUCUGGCGGGCCCUAAAGUCAGUGGCGGUGCCUUCCGGCUCCGAGCGUAGUAAUUCUUCUCGCUCUGGAGACCCGGUUGUGUGCUUGCCAACAACCAGCAAUUUUUUAAGGUUGACCUCGGAUCAGGUAGGGAUACCCGCUGAACUUAAGCAUAUCAAUAAGCGGAGGA
RNAcentral lists this unclassified non-coding RNA (329 nucleotides) under soil metagenome. Its description in RNAcentral is "partial contains 5.8S ribosomal RNA, internal transcribed spacer 2, and large subunit ribosomal RNA". The stretch from base 1 to 120 matches the Rfam family "5.8S ribosomal RNA", at positions 35 to 154 of the family's 154-position model. The record is from RNAcentral.